RNAcentral lists this unclassified non-coding RNA (390 nucleotides) under soil metagenome. RNAcentral's name for it is "partial contains 5.8S ribosomal RNA, internal transcribed spacer 2, and large subunit ribosomal RNA". The stretch from base 1 to 122 matches the Rfam family "5.8S ribosomal RNA", at positions 35 to 154 of the family's 154-position model. The record is from RNAcentral.
GAUGAAGAACGCAGCGAAAUGCGAUACUUGGUGUGAAUUGCAGAAUCCCGUGAACCAUCGAGUCUUUGAACGCAAGUUGCGCCCGAAGCCAUUAGGCCGAGGGCACGCCUGCCUGGGCGUCACACGUCGUUGCCCCCCCAUCUACUCCUUCGGGAUUGCGGGGGGCGGAUGAUGGCCUCUCGUGCGCCUCGUCGCGCGGUUGGCCUAAAUGCCAAGUCCUCGGCGACGCACGCCACGACAAUCGGUGGUUGCGAAACCUCGGUUGCCUGUCGUGUGCGGUCGUCGCGCAUCGAGGGCUCGAAAAAAUUGCCGGGCUUCGGCUCGACUUUCAACGCGACCCCAGGUCAGGCGGGGUUACCCGCUGAAUUUAAGCAUAUCAAAAGCGGAGGA